This 429-nucleotide ribosomal RNA is filed under the name bacterium. RNAcentral describes it as "partial 16S ribosomal RNA". It matches the Rfam family "Bacterial small subunit ribosomal RNA", at positions 355 to 776 of the family's 1533-position model. The record is from RNAcentral.
UAGGGAAUCUUCGGCAAUGGGGGCAACCCUGACCGAGCAACGCCGCGUGAGUGAAGAAGGUUUUCGGAUCGUAAAGCUCUGUUGUAAGAGAAGAACGUGUGUGAGAGUGGAAAGUUCACACAGUGACGGUAACUUACCAGAAAGGGACGGCUAACUACGUGCCAGCAGCCGCGGUAAUACGUAGGUCCCGAGCGUUGUCCGGAUUUAUUGGGCGUAAAGCGAGCGCAGGCGGUUUAAUAAGUCUGAAGUUAAAGGCAGUGGCUUAACCAUUGUUCGCUUUGGAAACUGUUACACUUGAGAGCAGAAGGGGAGAGUGGAAUUCCAUGUGUAGCGGUGAAAUGCGUAGAUAUAUGGAGGAACACCGGUGGCGAAAGCGGCUCUCUGGUCUGUAACUGACGCUGAGGCUCGAAAGCGUGGGGAGCAAACAGG